UGGGGGAGUAUUGCACAAUGGGGGAAACCCGUAGCAUGCAGCAACGCCGCGUGAGGGAAGAAGGUUUUCGGAUUGUAAACCUCUGUCCUAGGUGAAGAAAGAAAUGACGGUAGCCUGGGAGGAAGCUCCGGCUAACUACGUGCCAGCAGCCGCGGUAAUACGUAGGGAGCGAGCGUUGUCCGGAAUUACUGGGUGUAAAGGGUGCGUAGGCGGCCGCAUGGGUCAGGCGUGAAAUACAUGGGCUUAACUCAUGGACUGCGCUUGAAACUGUAUGGCUUGAGUGAAGUAGAGGCAGGCGGAAUUCCCGGUGUAGCGGUGAAAUGCGUAGAGAUCGGGAGGAACACCAGUGGCGAAGGCGGCCUGCUUGGGCUUUUUAACUGACGCUGAGGCACGAAAGCGUGGGGAGCAAACA
This 412-nucleotide ribosomal RNA is filed under the name uncultured Oscillospiraceae bacterium. RNAcentral's name for it is "bacterial SSU rRNA". It matches the Rfam family "Bacterial small subunit ribosomal RNA", at positions 354 to 774 of the family's 1533-position model. Lineage: Bacteria; Bacillati; Bacillota; Clostridia; Eubacteriales; Oscillospiraceae. The record is from RNAcentral.